Molecule: long non-coding RNA, 465 nt
Organism: Hyla sarda
Lineage: Eukaryota; Metazoa; Chordata; Amphibia; Anura; Hylidae
Exons: 4
Source: RefSeq, a predicted model, not a curated record
UUUCUUGGCAGAAGUUUCUCUACUGGGAAAUUCCAGAGUUCUCUGUUUGUCAGAUAUUUAGUAUUUCUACUCGCACAUGAAGUCAUCCCAAGGCCUAUAUUCGGAGUCACGAGCAGAUAGUAAGCUGAUGUAUAUGGGUUAAAUGGUCCUGGCAUCACAAUAUGGUAUACCAAUCCCUGUUGGGCGGCAAAGGAAGAAAGAAGAGGAAAAAUAUAACUCAGAUGGAUUCUGACUUAUACACCGGAUCGAUCUUGAGAGUUGACGCAUAGUCCGUGGAGUUCACACUGAAUUUACCACCAGUCUGAAUAGGACUAUUGUCGAAAUCACGGAACCAGGAGAACUGAGCAGGAAGGACCUGAAAUGAGGACUGGUAUCCAGAUGAUAGAUCCGUGGAUUAUGUUGGAUUCCGUAGACUACGUCAAUGACCAGCGUUUUUUAAAUUUAUUAUAAUAAAAUAGUUAUCAA